UCUGGCUCGUGGUGACCCAACACCCUAUGAAGACACUUUAUGUCCUUCAUUUUGGCAGUUACCUGAAUCUAGUCUGGGAAAUCCCAUACCCAGGGCAACAGUAUGUUGAAACUUUGUUAACGUGAGAGGCAAACCAUCUGCAUAGGGAGACUAGCAUAUACAGUGCAUUCGGAAAGGAUUCAGACCCCUUGACUUGUUCCAUAUUUUGUUACGAUACAGCCUUUAUCUAAAUUUGAUUAAAUUAAAUAAAAAACUCAGCAAUCUACACAAAACACCCCACAAUGAAAAACGGGUUUUUAGAUAUUUUGGGGUAAAUACCAGUAUUAGGUAGUAACAGUAUUAGGUAUUAACAGUAUUAGGUAGUAACAGUAUUAGGUAUUAACAGUAUUAGGUAGUAACAGUAUUAGGUAUUAACAGUAUUAGGUAUUAACAGUAUUAGGUAUUAACAGUAUUAGGUAGUAACAGUAUUAGGUAUUAACAGUAUUAGUUAUUAACAGUAUU
Long non-coding RNA from Oncorhynchus tshawytscha (Chinook salmon), 501 nucleotides. NCBI's taxonomy places the organism in Eukaryota, Metazoa, Chordata, Actinopteri, Salmoniformes, Salmonidae. The record is from Ensembl.